This is a long non-coding RNA of Austrofundulus limnaeus, 257 nucleotides long. RefSeq lists it as uncharacterized. The record is from RefSeq and is a predicted model, not a curated record. NCBI's taxonomy places the organism in Eukaryota, Metazoa, Chordata, Actinopteri, Cyprinodontiformes, Rivulidae. The transcript has 3 exons.
GGGGGAUCAUUUKGGCUUGUUUUGCAGCCUCCAGACUUGGACAUGUUKCUGUCAUUGAGCCAAACGUGAGGCCAUCUGUCUGACAGCUCUGUCCUAACUCUGGGAACAAACAUAUGUAGAAGGCCCUUGGAACAAAGUCCAAACUGGAAGUGGGACUUCAUCAUUAAAGUAUUCAGUCACCUGUUGUAGAGCAGAAUGUCCGGUUUCCAGAUGAGGUGGUCCGGAAAUCUCACGUUGGUCACACCUGGAUAAUCCGC